RNAcentral lists this ribosomal RNA (355 nucleotides) under Anaplasma phagocytophilum. RNAcentral's name for it is "bacterial SSU rRNA". It matches the Rfam family "Bacterial small subunit ribosomal RNA", at positions 92 to 464 of the family's 1533-position model. Lineage: Bacteria; Pseudomonadati; Pseudomonadota; Alphaproteobacteria; Rickettsiales; Anaplasmataceae. The record is from RNAcentral.
UUAGUGGCAGACGGGUGAGUAUGCAUAGGAAUCUACCUAGUAGUAUAGGAUAGCCACUAGAAGUGGUGGGUAAUACUGUAUAAUCCCUGCGGGGGAAAGAUUUAUCGCUACAUGAUGAGCCUAUGUUAGAUUAGCUAGUUGGUGGGGUAAUGGCCUACCAAGGCAGUGAUCUAUAGCUGGUCUGAGAGGAUGAUCAGCCACACUGGAACUGAGACACGGUCCAGACUCCUACGGGAGGCAGCAGUGGGAAUAUUGGACAAUGGGCGCAAGCCUGAUCCAGCUAUGCCGCGUGAGUGAGGAAGGCCUUAGGGUUGUAAAACUCUUUCAGUAGGGAAGAUAAUGAGGCUACCUAUAA